UGGCACACAGAAACACCCAACAAUAAUGCCUUUCCCACUAGGUUUUCUAUCUGCUACCUUGUUAGCAAUCAGCCUAUUGGGAACAUUU
RNAcentral lists this small nucleolar RNA (88 nucleotides) under Carlito syrichta (Philippine tarsier). Its description in RNAcentral is "Small nucleolar RNA SNORA32 (ENSTSYG00000022067.2)". The record is from RNAcentral. Lineage: Eukaryota; Metazoa; Chordata; Mammalia; Primates; Tarsiidae.